RNAcentral lists this ribosomal RNA (433 nucleotides) under uncultured bacterium. RNAcentral's name for it is "partial 16S ribosomal RNA". It matches the Rfam family "Bacterial small subunit ribosomal RNA", at positions 29 to 507 of the family's 1533-position model. The record is from RNAcentral.
AACGAACGCUGGCGGCAUGCCUAACACAUGCAAGUCGAACGAGACCUUCGGGUCUAGUGGCGCACGGGUGCGUAACGCGUGGGAACCUGCCCUUAGGUUCGGAAUAACUCCCCGAAAGGGGUGCUAAUACCGGAUAAUGUCGUCGGACCAAAGAUUUAUCGCCGUUGGAUGGGCCCGCGUUGGAUUAGCUAGUUGGUAGGGUAAAAGCCUACCAAGGCGACGAUCCAUAGCUGGUCUGAGAGGAUGAUCAGCCACACUGGGACUGAGACACGGCCCAGACUCCUACGGGAGGCAGCAGUGGGGAAUAUUGGACAAUGGGCGAAAGCCUGAUCCAGCAAUGCCGCGUGAGUGAUGAAGGCCUUAGGGUUGUAAAGCUCUUUUACCCGGGAUGAUAAUGACAGUACCGGGAGAAUAAGCUCCGGCUAACUCCGUG